This 894-nucleotide long non-coding RNA is filed under the name Homo sapiens (human). RNAcentral's name for it is "HSALNT0305961". The record is from RNAcentral. Lineage: Eukaryota; Metazoa; Chordata; Mammalia; Primates; Hominidae.
CCCAGUCGCCUCCUUGCCCAGCCUGCUAACUGCUAGAAACCAACAAGGGCAUACCAGGGUCUGACUUGGGAAGAGUUGCCAAUCCAUCCAGGAGGGCCCAGUGAAAGCAAACAUUCCGAAGGCAAAAAAACCUGAAAGCUCAGAAGGUAAACAACUUGUCCAGAUUGCGCACAGAGUGGCUGAUUUAGUAGAGGCAAACAAUUCCAAGUUAGAAACAGACAGCUGACCAGCGGUCCAUGGAGCAUCCUGUGCUGCUUCAAGGGUCCAGAGUGGGGAAGCAGCUGGGACCCUCGGCCUCAGUGGAAUGGCAUCAGGGGCCCUACUUCCAGCCAGCAGGCUCCAGCUACGAGCACAUGAGAAGCACAGUCCUGCUGGUUGUCUGGGGCAGUCUCCUGGGAAGCCACACACUGGGAAAAGAUCCUGAAGGCAGGCACUGUCCACAAAUCACUCAAGAAUUGAACAUUUUUUCAUUUUGAAAUGAAACUGCAUUUGAGGGUACUGCCAACUAUAAAUCAAAUGUUGCCUUUUGAAAAAAGGAAAGGAAAAGAAAGUAAUCAACUAAAUGGAGACUGUUGCCUCCUAUCACAACGUCUUGCAAUUAAAGGUCCAUUUCUUCUCUAAGUUCUCCUUUUCUCCUAGGAAAAUUGAAUGUUUUUCUAGUUAUGAGACGAGAAUGCUAACCAAAAUUGUUGCCAGUUCAAAAUGUGUUAUCUUAGUGGUGUUUAAUGUCCAAGAAAAAAACAAUUAGCUCUCUUCCAUGUUUCAAAGCCCAAAAUCGUAAGAGGACAGUUUGAAGUUUUAUGCAUGGCACUGGAUAUUUUGAGGGUAGUGUAUUUUAAUUACUUUUUAAUUGAAGUAUACUUUAUAUAUAAUAAAGUGUGCAAGACUGGUAAA